This 239-nucleotide non-coding RNA is filed under the name Paenibacillus sp. Its description in RNAcentral is "T-box sequence". It matches the Rfam family "T-box leader". From Rfam's summary of the family: Uncharged tRNA acts as the effector for transcription antitermination of genes in the T-box leader family. T-boxes are found upstream of many aminoacyl-tRNA synthetase genes and some amino acid biosynthetic genes usually in Gram-positive bacteria. Lineage: Bacteria; Bacillati; Bacillota; Bacilli; Caryophanales; Paenibacillaceae. The record is from RNAcentral.
GAUAAUGUGAUGACGGGGACAAGUAGGCAGGCAUUGCACCUUCAGAAAGCCGGUGGUUGAUGCGAACCGGUAGGACAAACCUGAUGAAUGGACCCCUGAGCGCCGAGCUUGAACGGGAGCUAGAUACCCUAGUAGACCGGCCGGAUCUUCCCCGUUAACGGAAGACUAAGGCUGUUUUUUCUUGUUCAAACAAGAUUAAGCAGCGAAUAAGGGUGGCACCACGGUCUCACGUCCCUUGC